Molecule: ribosomal RNA, 206 nt
Filed under: uncultured bacterium
Lineage: Bacteria
Description: partial 16S ribosomal RNA
Rfam family: Bacterial small subunit ribosomal RNA
Source: RNAcentral
UACGUAGGGGGCUAGCGUUGUCCGGAAUCAUUGGGCGUAAAGCGCGUGUAGGCGGUCCGGUAAGUCCGCUGUGAAAGUCGGGGGCUCAACCCUCGGAUGCCGGUGGAUACUGUCGGGCUUGAGUACGGAAGAGGCGAGUGGAAUUCCUGGUGUAGCGGUGAAAUGCGCAGAUAUCGGGAAGAACACCAGUGGCGAAGGCGGACUCA